UCUGUUUUCCUUUAAAUAAACCUCCUUGUUGCAGCCACAAAACAUUCCACACACAUCCAUACAACUCCAUUCACGCCAGAAUUCAUCCACCAUCCCUAACCGCACCUAUCCUUCACAAAACUCCAUAGUUUCUGACCCCAAACCCCCCCUAGCCGUGCCUCUACACCCCCCCAAAUUCCAUUCUACGUCAUCAAAACAAUCCAAGAAGCAUCACCAUACAAUCUGCCGCAAGCAACAAAGGGGACAGAUUCUCUACAAUUGUUUGGCUUUUCAAUCUGAGUUGUUGAACGAUUUUAGGUGUUUUCUAUCUUAUAUUUCAAUGUCUAAUUCAUGUAAUCUUUGUUUUGCUUUAAGUAUGAUUGGCUAAAUUCGUUUUGGCUAAGGGUGGAUUCAAAACCAUGAUUAUAUAUGUGAAAUAAGUUGAUUACUUCCAGUUAUCGUUGCAUAAGUCGUGAAUACAAUUCGCUUAACCGUUUGAUUUAGAACUUAUUCUUGUAUGUUGAUUGAGAGUGCACGCUUAAUUUGCAUGCUUGAAUUUGGUGCUAGGAUAUAAGUUUGUUUCACCUAAUCGUUAUGAAUUUAUAUUUGCAAGUAGUGAAGGUCACUAGUCACGAUCGUGUUAAGUAGAUUCCUGGCAAGAGUAUCAUGCUUUUCGUAGUUACGAAUGCCUUGUCGAUGCUUAUGAUUUCCAAAGAACGUAAUGAUUCUAACUUGUAUCUUUAUCAUGUUGUUCAUAUAGAGAACUUGUUAGGAAUAAUUUGUUUGCAAUGCAUAUUCAUCCAAUUCAAUGAUUCUAGGGAAAUCUGAAGGUUAAUUUAAGCGGACCUAAUUAACUUGGAGUGUCGAGGUUCAUAACUUGUUAAAUUGAUAACUGGAAAUCGAUUUAGAUUGCAUAUAUUUCAUGUGUGGAGAAGAACCCCUUAGCUAUUCCAUCAUCCAUUGAUUCAUCACAAUUUUGUCUUACAAUCUGUUUUCUUUACAAUCUGUCCAUUUAGUUUAUUUUCGUCCAAAUCAAAUCCCCAUUUAUUUUGAAGUCCUAGAUUAGUUAGAAAGUGUGUUGGUUUAUGUUUUUAAGUGUUUUGGUACAAGUUAAAACCCAAAUUCGUCCAAUUUGGUGCUUUGUGUUCAAAACUGCCCAGAAAGUGUUUUUAAGGCAGUUUUGAGUCUUUUAGUUGCUGUUUUGAGUUUUUGGUUUGUUUUAGUAUUUUAAACGUUAGUUUUGCAUUCUUUGAGUCUAAUCUAGUGUCUUAAACUUUGUUUUUGCGUUUCUAGUUCAGUUUUCAAGUGAUUAGUGCCCCUAGUUAAUCCCCGGUUAGAAUGAUCCCUACUUACAUCAUUACUACAAUUGUCACAAAUAGGGUUUAAUUUGUGUGUCAACAUAAUGUUCACAUCAACGAUCGCGCUAAAUAAAUUCUUGGCAGGAGUUUCAUGCUCAUCAUAGUAACGAAUGCCUCGUCAAUACUUAUAGUUUUCAUAAUGCUUAAGGAUCUUUGAUUGUAUCUUUAUUGUGCUGUUCACGUAAAGAACUUUUGAAGAAUGCUUGAAUUGUUGUAUGCGCUUUCCCAUCCAAUUCAAUAUCUUAAGGAGAACUUGAAGGUUAAUUUAAGCGGACUUAACUAACCUGGGGUGUUGAGUUUCAUGAUUGAUCGAAAGAACAACUGAAAAUUGGUUUAUGUGCAAGUAUGUCAUGUGUGGAGAAGAACCUCCUAGCUAGCCUUCCAUCCGUUCAAUUUACUCAAAUUCGUGCAGAUUUCAUUAGUUCUUUAAUUUACUUGUUUUGUUUUCAAAUUCGUCAAAACCAAAACCCCCUUUACUUUAAAGUGUUUUAUUAGUGAAAAUCUGUUUUGAUUUGUGUUUUUAGGCAGAUUUGAGCGUUUUUAGCUUGUUUUGAGUCCUUUGAGUUUGUUUUAAGUUCUUUGAGUCUAGUUUAGUGUUUUUAACUUUGUCUAUAUGUUUUUAAGUCAGUUUAGAGGUUUUAGCAAGCCCUCCAAAUCUCCAGUUUAGAAUGAUCCCUACUUGCAUUUAUACUACAAUUUGACAACAAGAGGGUUUAAUUUGUGUGCUAAGAAAAUUUUCGCAUCAGCAGGCUAGGAUCGAGUUGACGUCGCUUUGGGUGCGGAGCUUACCGAUGGAGAGAUUGGCAGUCUGGUUCUUUCAUGGCCUCUACUGGCUUUCUGUAAAAAGAAAAAGUGAAGAGAGGGAGAGUUUGGGGGUUUGCUUUUUAGGGUUUACAGAGGAGAGAGAAGAGAGAAAGAGUGGGAAAUGUUGGAGUAAAUGAUGACGAGCAAGGGAGGUGGUUGUGAAGAAGAAGGCAAGGGGGAUCGGGUCAGGUUCGAGCUUGUGAGAAUUAAAGAUCUGGUGGAACGGAUGGAC
RNAcentral lists this long non-coding RNA (2373 nucleotides) under Malus domestica (apple). RNAcentral's name for it is "long non-coding RNA (MDOM_LNC019324)". Lineage: Eukaryota; Viridiplantae; Streptophyta; Magnoliopsida; Rosales; Rosaceae. The record is from RNAcentral.